ACACACACACACACACACACACACACACACACACACACACACACACACACACACACAGUUUGUCAGUAUAUGUUUAAUAGUCAGUCCAGUUGGAGAUGAAGGAUCUACAUUUACAGUGUACACACCAUGACAACAUUAGAAUAUACCUCAGACAACUUGUUGGUACACACAAGAUAUUUUGGAGAAGAAGUCCAGGUGUUUUGAUGCAGGACAGUUAGUGAAGGUGAUUACAUCAUCAUUAAUAGGCAAGACAGAAGUUAACAUGAGGGGGUUGCUUGCAAGGAGUGUCACUCAGGUACGUAAGAUGAUGUCACUCAGGUACGUAAGAUGAUGUCACUCAGGUACGUAAGAUGAUGUCACUCAGGUACGUAAGAUGAUGUCACUCAGGUACGUAAGACACCUGCCAGACGAUGAUGUGACUCCGCUCUGCUUU
Molecule: non-coding RNA, 433 nt
Organism: Nerophis lumbriciformis (worm pipefish)
Lineage: Eukaryota; Metazoa; Chordata; Actinopteri; Syngnathiformes; Syngnathidae
Source: RefSeq, a predicted model, not a curated record